GGGGGCAGAAGGUAUUCACAGGCUGGUCUGAACUAGUCGAUGUGUUGUGUUGAUACCUCCUUAUGUCAUAAGUUCGUGCGUAUUCAUCAGAGCCUCCAAUGGAGAAAUAGUUGGGAUUGCGCGGAUCCACAAUGAUAGAAUUCAGUCGUAUCGGCUGCUUGUUCUCCGGAAAAGAUGUGCACAUGAAAAGCUUGGUAGGAGAUUGGCUUCGUAGAUCAAAAUGUCGUACGAAGCCAUCCUCGCCGCAACUGUAAAAUAUGUGUGAACUUCCUGGCUCUAUGGCAAGAUUGUGUACACGGCCGCGAUGUGUCCCAAGUUGUUUGGUGUUGGCACUACCGUCCUCUGAAAUCUGGCCAAGUCUGACCUGACCAUCAGCAGCAGAAGUUACUAUGGUUCGAUCAUCAGUGAAUGGCAUAAUUCUG
This 422-nucleotide unclassified non-coding RNA is filed under the name Hevea brasiliensis (rubber tree). Lineage: Eukaryota; Viridiplantae; Streptophyta; Magnoliopsida; Malpighiales; Euphorbiaceae. The record is from RNAcentral.